UGUUUCGGCUAGGGGGCCAUCCCGGCUUACCAACCCGAUGCAAACUGCGAAUACCGGAGAAUGUUAUCACGGGAGACACACGGCGGGUGCUAACGUCCGUCGUGAAGAGGGAAACAACCCAGACCGCCAGCUAAGGUCCCAAAGUCAUGGUUAAGUGGGAAACGAUGUGGGAAGGCCCAGACAGCCAGGAUGUUGGCUUAGAAGCAGCCAUCAUUUAAAGAAAGCGUAAUAGCUCACUGGUCGAGUCGGCCUGCGCGGAAGAUGUAACGGGGCUAAACCAUGCACCGAAGCUGCGGCAGCGACGCUGAUGCGUUGUUGGGUAGGGGAGCGUUCUGUAAGCCUGCGAAGGUGUGUCGUGAGGC
RNAcentral lists this ribosomal RNA (362 nucleotides) under Salmonella enterica. RNAcentral describes it as "partial 23S ribosomal RNA". It matches the Rfam family "Bacterial large subunit ribosomal RNA", at positions 911 to 1269 of the family's 2925-position model. Lineage: Bacteria; Pseudomonadati; Pseudomonadota; Gammaproteobacteria; Enterobacterales; Enterobacteriaceae. The record is from RNAcentral.